Non-coding RNA from Seriola aureovittata, 671 nucleotides. Lineage: Eukaryota; Metazoa; Chordata; Actinopteri; Carangiformes; Carangidae. The record is from the annotation of a RefSeq genome assembly.
AUGAGUCGCACAGUGAAGCUCCACCCAGAUCCUGAUCAGUCCUCCAUGAGGUUCACCUGGUCUGGGAAUGAAGAGCUUAACAGCUCCGGUGCAGCAUCAGAAGGGAGAGGCUUCAGUCACUUUGUAUCACUGUGGUGGACUUUUGGUGGAGGAACCAGACUGGAGUUUGGAAGUGACGCCCGUCCCACCCUGACGGUGCUGCCCCCCUCCAGUGAGGAGCUGCAGCAGGAGAAGGUCACAGUCCUGUGCCUGGCCAACAAGGGCUUCCCCUCAGACUGGAGUCUGGCCUGGAAGGUGGAGGGCAGCAGCAGCAGCAGCAGCUGGGAGGAGAGCAGGAGCCCCGGGGUGCUGGAGAAGGACGGCCUCUACAGCUGGAGCAGCACCCUGAGGCUCCCUGCAGACCAGUGGAGCAAGCUGGGCUCUGUGACCUGUGAGGCCACCCAGGGCUCCCAGACUCCGCUCUCAGAGACACUGAGGAGAGACCAGUGUUCCCAGUCCUGACCUGACUCACUGGGACUCUGCUACUGGUUUUACUCUGCUCCUGCUCUCUCUCUGCUCUCAUUAACACUGUCUCUCUCUCUUUUAUUUCACAUGUUUCACUAACAAUAUUUACCAGCUUCUCUCAGUGUUUCAAUAUUGUUUCUGUGUUUCCAGAUAAUAAAAAUCUGAUC